Molecule: long non-coding RNA, 629 nt
Organism: Piliocolobus tephrosceles (Ugandan red Colobus)
Lineage: Eukaryota; Metazoa; Chordata; Mammalia; Primates; Cercopithecidae
Exons: 2
Source: RefSeq, a predicted model, not a curated record
GAGAAGCACCAGGGAGAGCUAGCUGCCUGGGCCUGGUGGAAGCUGCCCAUGCCCCACUGAUACCCCACAGUAUUUCCUGUUCUGCUCAGUACUCCUGCUUCUUUCUGCAAACAACUGUGAUUCUCCACCUGGGAGCUUCCUCUGGCCACAGGAGCCUGCUCACCUGAAUGGGAUACCCCAGCAGUACUGUGCUUCCUGGAAUCAUCUCCCUCAUCAAUCAUUUGUUCCAAAAUUCUGUCUGAGUCUGUUUCUGAGGAAACCCAACCUGAGUCAUCAUCCCUCUUCCCCCCGUCACACUCUCUUCACUGGGGGAGGAUGGAUUGAGUUGACUGGCAAAUUUUAGAGAAGGAGUUUGCAUUGGAGUGCGUGACUCAGCUGAGGUUGGGCUGUGUUUUUUCAGAGAGAAGUACAUUCAGAUUCAAUGUGUAUCCUGUCUUCAGGAAGCCCCAUGGUCUGUUCAUCUUAGUAUGAUUACUAAGCUACACUCUGCCCUUUCAAGGGGAAGGCCUGAGAUUUGCAGUUGGCAAGCUCAGUGGAAGCUGGAUGUUUUAUGUAACCUGAUUGUGGAUAUAGAUCAAUCCAUGCUGUUCAAUUCAGUCCUCUCUCUAAUAAACUGCUCUUAUGAACCC